Molecule: transfer RNA, 100 nt
Filed under: Lachnellula occidentalis
Lineage: Eukaryota; Fungi; Ascomycota; Leotiomycetes; Helotiales; Lachnaceae
Rfam family: tRNA
About the family: Transfer RNA (tRNA) molecules are approximately 80 nucleotides in length.
Source: Rfam by way of RNAcentral
GCGUUUGUGGUUUAGUGGUAAAAUCCAUCGUUGCCAAUUGGCUAUACAGCUGUAUAGCUAUUGAUUCGAUGGGCCCCGGGUUCGAUUCCCGGCGAACGCA